Molecule: ribosomal RNA, 492 nt
Filed under: uncultured Sphingobacteriales bacterium
Lineage: Bacteria; Pseudomonadati; Bacteroidota; Sphingobacteriia; Sphingobacteriales
Description: bacterial SSU rRNA
Rfam family: Bacterial small subunit ribosomal RNA
Source: RNAcentral
GCCCGCUCAGAAACUCAAAUGAAUUGACGGGGGCCCGCACAAGCGGUGGAGCAUGUGGUUUAAUUCGAUGAUACGCGAGGAACCUUACCUGGGCUCAAAUGUAUGUUGACGUAUUCUGAAAGGGAUACUUCUUCGGACAAUAUACAAGGUGCUGCAUGGUUGUCGUCAGCUCGUGCCGUGAGGUGUCGGGUUAAGUCCCAUAACGAGCGCAACCCCUAUCAUUAGUUGCCAUCAGGUCAAGCUGGGGACUCUAAUGAAACUGCCUACGCAAGUAGUGAGGAAGGUGGGGAUGACGUCAAAUCAGCACGGCCCUUACGUCCAGGGCUACACACGUGCUACAAUGGCCGAUACAGAGGGCAGCUACCUGGUGACAGGAUGCAAAUCUCCAAAGUCGGUCUCAGUUCGGAUCGGAGUCUGCAACCCGACUCCGUGAAGUUGGAUUCGCUAGUAAUCGUGGAUCAGCAUGCCACGGUGAAUACGUUCCCGGGCCUU